This 42758-nucleotide long non-coding RNA is filed under the name Durio zibethinus. Its description in RNAcentral is "long non-coding RNA (DZIB_LNC001596)". Lineage: Eukaryota; Viridiplantae; Streptophyta; Magnoliopsida; Malvales; Malvaceae. The record is from RNAcentral.
AAGGCCAAGUGAUAAUGCUUUUGUUACCAAACACUCCAGAGUUUGUCCUGUCAUUUCUCGGCGCUUCAUUCCGUGGCGCCAUUGCCACAGCUGCCAACCCUUUUUUCACCCCAGCGGAGGUAGCAAAGCAAGCAAAAGCCUCCAACGCCAGGCUCAUAAUCACGCAAGCCAAUUAUGUUGACAAAGUAAAGGAAUUUGCCCAAGACAACGAUGUCAAGGUGAUGUGCAUUGACUCAGCCCCAGAGGGCUGUUUACAUUUCUCUGAGUUAACUCAAGCUGACGAGAAUUAUCUCCCUGAAGUCGACAUCGUUCCAGACGAUGUCGUCGCACUACCCUAUUCGUCGGGAACCACGGGACUCCCCAAAGGAGUGAUGUUAACGCACAAAAGUUUAGUCACAAGCGUGGCGCAACAGGUCGAUGGAGAAAACCCCAAUUUGUAUUUCCACAGUGAAGAUGUGAUCUUAUGUACUCUGCCCAUGUUCCAUAUGUACGCCCUGAAUUCUAUUAUGCUUUGCGGGCUACGUGUUGGGGCUGCAAUUUUGAUCAUGCAGAAGUUUGAGAUAGGGUUGUUGUUCGAGUUGAUACAAAAAUACAAAGUGACAAUUGCUCCUAUAGUGCCACCUAUAGUUUUGGCCAUUGCUAAGUCAUCCGAAACUGAUAAAUAUGACUUGUCUUCCGUAAGGAUGUUGAAGUCCGGGGCCGCACCGUUGGGGAAAGAGCUUGAGGAUGCUGUAAGAGCCAAGUUUCCUGGUGCCAAACUUGGGCAGGUACGGGAGUCAAAUACUUUUACCUGUCUUUUUAUUUCUGUGUUAGACUACUUACUUCCAACUAAAGUUUUGAAAAUUCUUCAUUCAUAGGCUUUAUUUUUUAGUUAAAAUUUAGAAGAAAAUUAAAAUGAUUUUCUUUUUUGGGGAAAUGUUUCGUUAGUUAUAUAUACUAUGCAAAUCUGGAAAAACAACUUUCUUUUCCUUCUUUUUUCAAAUAAGGAAUGAGACAUUUUCCUUCUCUCACGUUAUAGUAUUGUAAAAGAAGUCCUAAGUUUUAAGAUUAACCCACUAAGUGUAUAAUAAAAAUAAUAAUAAAUAAUAUUCUUAAUUAAUAAAAUAAAAUAAAAAUAAUCAUAAAUCCUUCACCAAUCCCUCCACAUAAAAUCGCAAAAUAAAAUACUAUUAUGAAAAGCAUUGAUUUGGUCUUCAAGGACAGCACCAGCACUUAUCCUAUAUAUAUAUAUAUAUAUAUAUAUAUAUAUAUAUAUAUAUACACGUGUGUGUAUGUAUUUAUUUCUUAUGUUCAUAUUGUAGGGUCGAGCUAUGAUGUGGAAGUUCCACUAAACAUGAUAUAAUGGAUAUUCAAAGAUUAUAGCCUAGGCAACCAUCACCUGCCUAAGUCUCUUGACCAACAAAUCUAUAAGAAACUUUACUACUCCACUGAUAAUCAUUUUUGUUUUUCACAUAAUUAAUUCUAAUGGUGUUGGCUGACCAGCCUCCUCUUGUUUUGUUGCCGUUUAGUUUGGUAUCUUUGGCUUUUUUAUCCCCAUAGAAAGAACCAAAAAAAAAAAAGAAAGGGUUUUAAUUCAACAACCUUGGAUGAGACCUAAUUUAAUUGAAUGUGAAUGUGAUGAGUCGACAUGAUGGACCGGGUUUUAAUUGAAAAGCGGUUUGCAGGGGUAUGGAAUGACAGAAGCAGGACCAGUUCUAGCAAUGUGCUUGGGAUUUGCUAAAGAACCAUUUGAAAUGAAAUCCGGGGCUUGUGGGACUGUGGUAAGGAACGCAGAAAUGAAAAUUGUUGAUCCUGACACCGGUUCCUCGCUACCACGAAACCAGUCUGGAGAGAUUUGCAUUAGAGGAGAUCAGAUCAUGAAAGGUAAAUCAGUAAAAACAAAAACAGAAAAUGCCUUUGCCAUAAAUUCUGUACUGAAAUGAAUUUUACACAAAAUUUGAAUUUUAAAUAAAACAUGAACAACGUUGUUGAAUGGUCCAGGAUACCUUAAUGACCCUGAGGCCACCGCUAGGACCAUUGACAAAGAUGGCUGGUUACAUACUGGAGAUAUUGGUUACAUUGAUGAAGAUGAUGAACUCUUCAUCGUUGACCGAUUGAAGGAAUUGAUCAAAUACAAGGGUUUGCCGGUUGCUCCUGCUGAGCUUGAAGCCAUGCUCAUUGCCCACCCUGAUAUCAUUGAUGCUGCCGUGGUCGCGUAAGUUAAAUAAUAAUCGAUGUUUUGUAGUAUUAUAUAUAAUUAGUUUCUUGGUUUGAUAUUUUCUGGCUUACUUAAAUACUAAUUUAUAUCUGAAAUUUUCAGCAUGAAGGAUGAAGCGGCUGGAGAAGUUCCUGCUGCAUUUGUGGUGAGAUCAGACAAAUCACAAAUCAGUGAGGAUGAAAUCAAGAAGUACAUUUCAAAACAGGUAAUUUAAAUCAAAUUUUACUAAUUUAGAACAUAUCGUUCUGGUAGAACUUAGAAGUAACACUAAAUUAAGUAAUACAAAUAUAUUAAUACUGAUUAUUGUUGUAGACACCAAUUUUGUCCGGGUCUACUGUUUUAAUUUUAAUAAUAAUAAUAAUAGUAAUAAUAAUAAUAAUAAUUUAAAAUAAAAUAAUAAUUAUUAAUUAUAUAAAAAAAACACAAAAAAGAAAAAAAAAAGUAGGGUGGCUGGCUUGUUGUCGCCCCCGACCAGCCACCCUACAGCCCUUUGAUUAGCCCCCACACUCACUAGCCUACAGCCACUUACAGCCAUCCUACAAUCACCUAGAUCCCCUUUUGAACCCAUUCAAAUACGGAUCUGAACCCUUUCUAAAAAAAAAACCCUCUCGAACCCCCUUCAACCUCUCUCUUGGAAAUUCCUUCUCGAAAUCUUUCGGAUAGUUCUUCACCUUCAAACACACUGCUUACAAUAUCGUCUCGGACACCUAGACACACCAAAGAAAAUCCUUCAACCCACACCAACCACGAAAACAGAAACACAAAAACAGAAACAAAAAAAAAGUCAAACAGUCCUCCCCGUAAGGAGGAACCUCAGCGCCAGAAAGCCCUGUAAACAAGCAAAAAAAUCAUCAGUGUCUUUUACAUUAAAAAAAAAGAGAGACAGAGAAAGGAAACAGAAACUUUGAGCUCCGAUCUACGCUGAUCAGGACUGUUUCUGGUAAAACAGACGUCGGAUCUGGGAAGAUCUCGUUGAAAGAAGCUUCUGAAAAAAUUUGGGUAAUUUUUCGACCAUCGACGACCACUGUUGGUGGCGGCUAGUGUGGUGCUCUGACGACCGGACGGCAAGACUGCCGGAGCUCUCCCCCCAGAGCUCUCUCUCUCUCUCUCUUUUUUUUCUGAAAACAAAAACCAAAUGAAAAUUUUUUUUUUCGGUUAUAUAUAAUGGAUUAAAAAGCAAAAUAACGUCGUUUCGGUCAAGGAGAAUCCGCGCGUUGACCCGGAUUCGACCCGAGAUUCGCGUAACCCGACCUGUGGACCCGCUCUCUUAACGAUCGUUGACCGGUCAGGUUCAGGUAAAAAAAAUUUUUUUUUUAAUUUUCUAAAUUUUUUUAUAUUAUUAUUUUUGUUAUUUUAAGUAUAUAUUUAUAUUUAUGCAUGAUAAAUUUAUAAAUUUGUUAAAAUAAAUGUUUAAUUAUUUUAAUAAUAAUAAAAUUAAAAACAAGUAAUAAUUAAAAAUAUACUAAAAUGCUCAAAAAAAAUUUUUAUUAUUUUUCUUGCCUAGAUGUUGGAGGGAAUAAAAACAUUUUUUUAAAAAUAAUUCCGCCUAGAUGUUGGGGAAUUAUUGUUAAUAAUUUUUCAUAAAAAAAUAUAUAAGAAAUUUUUAAUUAGUUUUCAAAAGUUAUAAAAAAUUGAACCUGCUCCAAAAGUCUGCCUAGAUGAUAGAGAUUUUUAGAGAUGUUCGUAUUUUACUUAAACCUUAAAUACUAAUUUGUAAUUUUCAAAAUCCUAAGUUUCUAAAACCCCCUAAAACCCAAAAUCCCCUUAAAAUCCAAAAUCUUAAAAUCGAAAUCCUUAAAAUCAAACCCCCCCCCAAAAUCCAAAAUCCUAAACCUUUAAACUUUUAAAUCCAAACCCAAAAUCCAAAAUCUCUAAAAUCCAAGCCUUUAAAUCAAAACCUCAAACCUCAAAACCCAAACCCUAAAAUCUCCAAACAUUAAAAUCAAAACCCUAAACCUUCCAUAUCCUAAAAUUCAAGCUUUAAAACCCUCUAAACCUUAAAACCAAACCUUCAAAACCUCUACUCAAGCCCUCACUCAAAACCUCCUAAAAAUCCUAAGGAUACGUGUGAAAAUUCUAUUUGAAGCAAUUUGUUCUCGAAUGCUGCUAGAUGAUGGGGUAUUUAGGAAAUUUUACUUCGUUAAGUCUUUUCAUACGAUUUUUUAAUUUGCUUUAAUAAUAAGAUUAAUAAAUAAAAAGUAUAAUAAAAAUUAGAAUCUUAAAUAUAAACAGUCGCACCUAAGCUCUGCCUAGAUGUUGGAGAGUCGGGGUGAUCUCAUUAUACUUAAGAAUCCAACUAUUAAAUUGCAUUUCAUUUCUUAUGACAUUCAUUAGUAUACAUACGUUAGCAUGUUAUUAUCAAUAAUUGUCUGCAUUAUUUUAUCUUUAAUUUACUGUUUGAUAAUAAAAUAUUUAUAAUAAAAAGAAUAAUACUUUUAAAAAAUUUUUUGUGAUAUUAUAAAAUAAAAUAAAAAUAACAUUCCGAAAGAAAAAAUUCUUAGUACUCUGCCUAGAUGUUGGAGAGUCACUAAUAAUUAUUUUCUAUAAAGAUUGUUAUUUCAUUUUAAGGAUUAUUGUGUUAAAUCUUAAGCGAAAAGAGUUAUUUCAAAUUCUGCCUAGAUAUUGAAGAAUUUUAAGAUAAUUCUUUAACUUAAAGAUUUUAUCAAUAUUUCUAAAUAAAAAUUUUAGCAAAAAUAUUUUUUUAAAAACGAAGGAAAGUUAGUAUUAAAUUUCAAGUCAAAAUCAUUUUUAUCUAACACCGAAAAUAGCACAUAGUUGAAUGGUACCAAUUUAUGGGCGUUGUGGGGGUGCUAAUCCUUCCCACACGUAACCGACUCCUGGACCUAACCUGGUUAUUCGUAGACCAAAAUUUAUCUUUUUGAUAAACCUUAAACCCAUUUUUAUAGUUUUAUUAAAAAGAUAAACUUUUGGGUGAUCAAUCACACCUAACAAAGAUUGGUGGCGACUCCUCCCCUUUUAUUUUUCUCGAUUUUAAAAAACUCGUUUUACGUCUGACGGUCCCAAAACCGUUACGACAGCUUGACGACUCCACUGGAGACUUAUUUGAGAGUCAGGCCAAAAUUUUAAUUAUGCGCUAUUGACGAUGGUUGGAUUUAAUUGAUUUUAUUUGAUAUUUAAUUUAAUUUCUUUUAUUUUAUUUUUUGAAAACAUUCGAGUUAAUAAAUAAAAUAAAUUGUAUGAUAGUUAUUAAUUUAUUUUGAUUUUGUGGUUAUGAUUUAUUCAUGUUAUUUUGAUUAAUACAUUGCUUUACACACACUUUGCAUAUUCACUUGCAUGCAUGAGCUCUAUACCCGAGGUCCAUCCCUUUUAAGAGGAAAUGAAGUAGCUACGCUCUCGUGAGGUGAUAACCUCCGCAUUUGCUAGCAAAAUACUUCCACUUAGAUUGAACCCUUUCCGUUAAUAACCUAUAAUGGGCGAGUAUCGGAGAACCUUACUAGUUUAUAAUGGACGAUGAUGUGAGGAAUAGUCUGGGAACCUUUAGACAUAUAAAUUCUAACCCAACAUAUCAUGAGCCAUAUGAAGCCUACCUAGGAUAGAGUCAUGCCACCUUUUUAAAAAAUUACCAAAAAUUAAGACAUUAUACAUUAUAUUAUUUGGUUGUAUGGUUGUUAUGUUAUUUUUCUUACUUGUUUGUUUUGAAUUCUCGAGUCAUUUUAUUUUUUUAUUUUAUAUAUUCUUUGAUUGUGUGCAUUAUAUUUGAAUAUGUGGUAUUUAUUUUAGGUCAAUCAUUGAAAAGAAAAAAAAAGACAAAAAACAUUUUCAAAGAUUAAAGAUUUUUCUUAAAUCUUUUGUUUAUUGGCCGAAUAAAGACUAAUUUUCAAGCCUUAUUUAUUUCAUUUUUCCUUCUCAAAAUUAAAAAAAAAUUGUAUUUUAUUUCAUCUUUCGGAUUUCAUACAUCGUAAUAAAUAAUACAUGUAUCUCAUCCCAUGCGCAUUAUAAUAAGAUAAUAUGUGCAUUUCAUCCCAUCCAUAUCAAUAGGUAACACAUGCAUUUUACUUCAUGCACAUGCAUCCCAUGCACUUCUUGAUAAGUAGUGCAUGCAUUCUAUCUCGUUACGUAUCUUAAGGCAAUGUUUACCUUGUUAAGCCAGCACAACAUAUGCAUUGCAUUUCAUACAUACAAAUCUCAUACAUAAGUAGGUCCGUGCAUUUCAUAAAAGUAUGUUGCAUUAGUCAUAAAAAUACUCUCACCAUUCAUGUAAAUAGGUCAUUGCGUUUCAUGCAUAUAGAUUCAUGAAUAAUAAAGUCGUAUGAAACAUACAUUAUGUUUCAUAUCCCACCAUUCUUGCAACAUGACAUUGCAUUUUUUGCAUACACAUUCAUGGUUGACGAAAAUUUUUAUUUGGGUCUUUGUACAUAUAAAAAUCUAUUGUCAUAAGUAUAUAUGCAUUUCGUGACAUUCUCAUGUUCAUGUAUUCAUAAACAUACUUUGUAUGUCUUUGUUUUUAUGAUAUUCAUUCAAUAAGGGUAAUAGUCUAAAAUGUUUUGUCUAAGUUCUGAAAUAAAAUGUCUGUCUUGGUGGAAAUUAGAGUGACAAAAAUGGGAGAUCAAUUGGAAGCAAUGAUUAGUGCUUUGGAGUUGAAUCAAGAGGAAUUAUGGCUUGCACGUCAUGCAUCAUCUGUUUGAAUUCAUUAUUUUUCAUGUCAGCUAAAGACAAGGAAUGAUAAUUGUAAAUAUACUUUCAUCAAACCUUUGAAGCAAUUUUUUUUAUAUAAUAGAAUUCAUGCCAUGCAUUUCUAACUUCUGGUAAUUAAUAAAAAGUUCAAGGAUAACUAUUCUAGGGAACGAAGUCAGUUGAGUCUGCACACUUAUAGCACUCGAGUCAGUACCAGAAUCAUGAAAAUAAAGAUGCCAGUCGAAUGAACAGAGUAGAAAAGACCUAAGGAGAGAUCGGUGAAACAGUUACGAAAAUUCAACAAAACGUGAACAAACAACUGGCAGAAUUAAAACAAAUGAUAGUGGAAUUGAUGAAAGGAAAAAGAGUUGUUGAGAUGCACAGGAUAAAGGAGGAAACAGCUAUCGAGACACCAUUGUAUCCAUAUGGGUUCACAUAUGUUCAAGAUCCCUAUGUGUCACAGGUACCUCCAACAACUUGUCAACCUUAUAGUGGCCAUUUUCCCAAGUUACCAUCAGUUCAGACAAAUGUCAAUCCUGGGCAUACUCCUCACAACUUCAUUAUUGUGCUUAAUGUGGAUGAUCAUAAAGAAUUAAAAAAAUUGACAAGGGUGCUAGAUCCAUCAGAAGAUAUAAUGAUGAAAGAUAAGUAUGACCUAUUGGAAGGGAGAUUGAAAGCAAUUGAAAGCCAUGAUGUGUGCAAGAAUGUUGAUGCCAGUGAACUUAGUCUAGUACCUGAUCUUAUUAUUCCAUCAAAAUUCAAAGCCGUAGAUUUUAAAAAGUAUAACGAAACUGGAUGUCUUAAAAUACAUUUAGCUCAAUACGGUCACAACAUGGUUGGGUACGCUAAUGAUAAAAAGCUGUUUAUUCAUGUCUUUCAAAAAAGUUUGACUGAGGCAGCAGCUAAUUGGUAUCAUAGUUUGAAAAACAGUCAAAUUUGUACUUGAAAAAUUUAUCACAGGCAUUUUUGAAGCAAUACCAAUAUAUGUUAAAGUUGGCUUCGAAUCGAUUAACCCUCCAAAAUAUGAGAAAGAACCCCAAUGAAAGCUAGAAAGAAUAUACUAUUAGAUGAAAGAAUAUGACAUCAUAGGUACAACCACCUCUUACCAAUAGAGAGUUGAAUUCCCUGUUUGUGAAUACAUUUUUUUCUUCUUAUUAUGAUAAGUUGAUCAGUAAUACUUCAUCAGAGUUUGUGAAUUUAUUGUUUACUGUGGGUAGAAUUGAGGAUGGGAUAAGAAGGGAAAGAAUUAUAGAUACUGGUGAUGAAAAAAUAAGAGAUAUUUUUGUAAAACAAGUCCAAGAAAUAAUUGUUAAAGGGCAAAAUGAGAGAAAUCCCACCAUGAUGCAGAAAAUCCAACGGAUGAUUAUUCACAAUGGUUACCAUAUUGUCCCUAACCAAUUUUUUCGAUCGAUGAUUUUCCUCGAUCACUUCAUAUGUGUGCUCAAAUUCUUUCACCACGAAUAGAACCAAGGAUCAACUUAAGCCAUUCACAGAGUCGUAAGAGAAAGAGAGCCAAAGUGUAUCAUUCACUGUCAAUACCUUACGCUGAGCUCUUUACUUUACUGAUAGAGAAUCAUAUGAUCUCUGUUGUUCUUGCAAGACUCAGAAAGCCUCCGUAUCUGAAAUGGUAUGAUCCUAAUGCUAAAUGUGAAUUUCAUGAUAGAGUUAAGGGGCAUUCCAUAGAAGAUUGUACUACCUUCAGGAUAAAGUUCAAGCUUUGAUCGACGCAGAUGAUGCAAAGUUUAAAGAGCUAGUUGGUAGUUUUGAUGAUUGAUAGUAGUAAGUUGCAAGUUAGUGAUGCUAAAGUUGAAACAUCAAGGGGAAAACUUUUGUUUAUGUAACUUUGAAUAUCAUCUCAAGAGUAUGAUCAAAAUGAUAAAUUCUUUUUGGGUCAAGUUCUAAGGUUUGCAUUGCAUGAGUAAACAUUGUGCAUCAUAGUGUUUUAUUUCGUGUAAGUUUCGAUAUAUAGUUGAUUUUUUUUUAAAAAAAAGAGGAAAGAUGUUAGAUAUGAAUAAAGUCCCAUGUGAUUAAGUGCCAAGGCUAGAGAAAUGUUAAAAAAAAAAGUAACAAAAAAAAGAAAAAAAGAAUUUUUGAGUCUAAGAUGAAUUGACGAUCACUAUUAGAAAAUUUUCAAAUACCUAAAUGCCAAUCUACUCAUUCAGUUGACCCCAUUUCAUCAGUCAUGUCCCUUUGAUAGCCCUGAAUUCGGAUUUGUGAACCUUAUUGAUAUUGUUGUUAUAUCAAAAGGGAAUUUUCUUUUCUGAGGCAAUGAACAAAUGAAAUAGCCAUUGAAAAAAUGUGUGGUUCUUACAAAAUCAAGUCUAUAUGACUUUCUUUUUUUGAAAUUCAAAUGUGAUAAUUUGAUAUGACAAGAUUAUGCUGCAGUUCCAAAAUUUUCAAAUCCAAGUCUUGUAAAAUGCACUCAAGCAUACUACCUUUUAGCUUUUUAUCCCAAAAUUAAUCCGAUCCUUUGUCUUGAGGUAUAUUUGUCAGAAAAAAAAUACCUCAUUACCUUUAAGGCAACUUAAGUUAUGAUUAACCUUUUUGUUCUUUUUUUGUGGAGUAACUUAGAUCAUUUGAUACUUUAAACAUGUUUACCCCACAUAAUCUUUUUUUUAUCCAUUUCAUAUGACCCUUCUCUUGUAAUUACUUUCAUUAUGGGUGGUUUGCUAAAAUGGGACAUCUUUCAUGAAAUGUGUUACUGACAAAAUGAAUCUAGGUGUGAGCUAUGGGGGCAUAAAAAAAAACAACAAAAAAAAAGAAGAAAAAAUAGGUUAUGACAUCAUGCACUAAAAAAUUUAAGCAAAUCCAAAAAGGUCAUGACAAAGUCAAGGUUUUGAAAAAAAAAAAACUAAAAAUUUUUUUUUGAGAUUAAAAAGAAAAAAACUUUUUUCCCAAGUUCAUUUUUCUGAAGAAUAGUCUUCAAUUUAAGUGUUUAUGCUUGAAGUGACAAAUGACCAUCUUUCAUUAUCUCUUCACAAAAAUAAAAAUUUAUCUUUUGUUACCCUUUUAGCCUAAUUGAAUUCUUUCAAAAUAAACCCUAACUAAGGAUCACCUUUCAUAUUGGGGGCAAAAAAAAAACGUUUGAAGAAUAAGAAUGAGAAUGUCUAAUGAAAUCUCAUGUGAUAGGGGCACAAACCCAGUAUAAAAGUUCAUAAAAGUUUUGAAUCCACUCAGUGAAAGGAUGCAAAAAAAAAAAAAAAAAGAAAGGAAAGGAAGAAUAAAAAAAAAUGAAUGGGUGGAAAGCAUAAAAUAGAAUAUACCUUAGAGUGUAUCUUUCCAAUGAAAAAUGAUCCUUAGCUUCAAAUACCCUUAAAUACUUAUUUUGGGCCUUUUUAUCCUUUUCUUUGGCAACCAUGAACCUUAACCUACAUUACAACCUUUAAAAAGUCCAUAUUGGAUCAGGUAUGAAAGCUUAAACUUGAAGAGUUUCUCUUGAAAAAAUAAACAUGAAUUUUUUUAGUUUUCUUUUUUGAAAAAAAAAAUUCUUUUCCUCUUUUGGAUUAGAUUUGAAUUAUCAAGUGCAGGGUUGUAAAAAAAAAAAAGAAAGAGAAAAAUAGAAAUAAAAAUGGCUGUAGGGUGAAAACCCUCAAAAAGACAGUCUAGAGCCAACCCUGAAAGGUCACUCCUAAUGCUAAGUAUGGUGGAUGCUAAACAAAAGUAAAGCCAAACCUUUUGAAAGAUCUGAAAUAUCAAAGCCAUAGAAGUUUGAGAUGGGUUGAUUAUUCCUAAAUAACCUUUUAAAAUCUCAAGCCCUUACAACUGAUCUUGACAUAUAUCAAAAUGUCGCAUUUGAAGACUAAAAAAAAUGUUGAAUAUGUUUGAUUUUCAAGGAAUUCGUGCUUUUAGAAAAGCUUGUGUUUCAUUUGUGAGCUUGCAUGCCUCUUUCACUCCCUUCAAGGAUUGGAACCUUUUGAAUCAACAUCGCUAUCUACAAAAUUAUUACAUCCAUUUGGAAAGAAAAUCCUCACCUUUUUCAUUUUUGAUAGGGAUCGCCAAAUUUAAAAAAAAAAAGAAAAAAACUUUGAGCCCAGUUUAUCUGGCCAUCAAUGAGGUUUUAAGCCCAGUUUAUCUGGCCAUCAAUAAAAAUUUAAGCCCAGUUUAUCUGGCCAUCAAUGAAAAUUUAAGCCUAGUUUAUCUGGCCUAAAAUAAAGUUUUAAGCUCAGUUUAUCUAGCCAUCAAUGAAGCUUUAAACCCAAUUUAUCUGACUACAAAUGAAGUUUUAAGCACAGUUUAUCUGGCCAUUGAGAAAAAACUUUAAGCCCAGUUUAUCUGUUCUCAAAUAAAAUUUUAAACCCAAUUUAUCUGGCCAUUAAUGAAGCUUUAAGCCCAAUUUAUCUGGCCAUUAAUGAAGCUUAAGCCCAGUUUAUCUAGCCAUCAAUGACAUUUAAGCCCAGUUUGUCUGGCCAUCAAUAAAAUUUUAAGUCUAGUUUAUCUGGCCAUCAAUAAGGUUUUAAGCCCAAUUUAGUUGGCCUUCAAUGAAUUUAAGCCCAGUUUAUUUGGCCCCAAAAGAAGUUUUAGAGUUUCAAAAUUCUAUUCAGAAUAAAAAUUCUCGAUGCAUAACCUUUUGAAAGAUCUUGCAUUUGCAUUACUUGUAUCAUGAGAAAGACAUUUAACCUAAAAAAAAUAUGGAGAUAUUCAAAUUUGCAUCGCUCAUCUGUGCAUCAUGAAAGGGAUAUUUUCAUUUGCAUCACUUACAUCUGUACCACAAGAAAGACAUUCGCAUUUGCAUCACUUGCAUUUGCACUCGCACAAGAUAUUUGCAUUCGCACCAUAAGAAAAUUCGUAUUUGCACUACCAUGGCAUCCGUAUCAUAAGAAAAGGGAUUUGUAGGAGCAUUUACAUGAAAAGAACAUUGUCAUUGUCAAAUAUAGUUACAUCAAGCAUUCGCAUUCUUGCAUUUGCAUUGAGAUUUGUAUUUUUAUCAACAUUUCCAUUAGCAUCAUUUGAUCAAGAUGAACAUUUGUAUCAUUGAUUGCAUUCAUUAACUCUGAUUGGAAAAAAAUAUAUUUUCAAAAAAUUUUUUUUUUUAAAGUUUCAUUGCCUCUGAUUAUGAGGAACAUUUAAAAAUUUUGAAAUUUGUAAGACCUCCGGGCAUAAUCUCUAAAAGCCUCUGCGCAUGACUUUCAAGAUUAAAAGAUUUUCAAAUUUUUAAAGUUUCAUUGCCCUGAUUAUGAGGAGCAUUUAAAGAUUUUAAAAUUUGUAAGACCUUCGGGCAUAAUCUCUAAAAGACUCUGCGCAUGACUUUCAAGAUUAAAAGAUUUUCAAAUUUUAAAGUUUCAUCGCCUCUGAUUAUGAGGAGCAUUUAAAGAUUUUGAGAUUUGUAAGACCUUCGGGCAUAAUCUCUAAAAGCCUCUACGCAUGACUUUCAAGAUUAAAAGAUUUUCAAAAUUUAAAGUUUCAUCGCCUCUGAUUAUAAGGAACAUUUAAAGAUUUUGAGAUUUGUAAGACCUCCAAGCAUAAUCUUUAAAAGCCUCUACGCAUGAUUUCAAGAUUAAAAAAUUUUCAAAUUUUAAAGUUUCAUCGCCUCUGAUUAUGAGGAGCAUUCAAAGAUUUUGAGAUUUGUAAGACCUCAAGGCAUAAUCUCUAAGACCUCCAGGCAUGAUUCUGUAAGACUUUCAGGCAUGAUUUCUAAGGCCUUCGGGCAUAAAUUUGAUUCGCGAUGUUAUCCCGAUCAAUUUUUUAUCUUUUGACUUGCGGUGUUAUCCCAAUCAAUUCUGUAAGACCUCCGGGCAUGAUUUUUAAGACCUUCGGAUAAUUCUGUAAGACCUCCGGACAUAAUUCUGUAAGACCUCUGGACAUAAUUUUUAAGAUCUCUGGAAAUGAUUUUUAAGACCUCCGGGCAUAAUUUUGAUUCACGGUGUUAUCCCGAUCGAUUUUUUAUCUUUUAACUUGUGAUUUUAUUUCAAUCGAUUCUGUAAGACCUCUAGGCAUGAUUUAUAAGACCUCCGGGCAUAAAUUUGAUUCGUGGUGUUAUCCCGAUCAAUUCUUUAUCUUUUGACUUACGGUGUUAUCCUAAUCAAUUCUGUAAAACUUCCGGGCAUAAUUUUUAAGACCUCCAAGCAAUUCUGUAAGACUUUCGGGUAUGAUUCUGUAAGACUUUCGGGCAUGAUUUGUAAGACCUUCGGGCAUAAAUUCGGUUCACGAUAUUAUCUCGAUCGAUUUAUUAUUUUUCGACUUGUGGUAUGAUCCCAAUCGUUUUGUGUUUUUAAAAACAAAAAAAUGAUUCGGAUAAAAUCGUUGUCUUUAUCUUUGUCCUAUUCCUGAUUUAAAGUAAUGUGCAAAGAGAGGCAGUUGUAGACAUCAAUUUUGUCCGGGUUUACUGUUUUAAUUUUAAUAAUAAUAAUAAUAAUUUAAAAUAAAAUAAUAAUUAUUAAUUAUAUAAAAAAACAUAAAAAAUAAAAAAAAAAGAGAAAAAAAUAAAAAGUAGGGUGGUUGGCUUGCUGUCGCCCCCGACCUGCCACCCUACAGCCCUCUGACCAGCCCCCACACUCACCAGCCUACAGCCACUUACAGCCAUCCUACAAUCACCUAGAUCCCCUUUUGAACCCAUUCAAAUAUGGAUCUGAACCCCUUCUAAAAAAAAAACCCCUCUCGAACCCCUUCAACCUCUCUCUCGGAGAUCCCUUCUCGAAAUCUUUCGGACAGCUCUUCACCUCCAGACACACUGCCUACAAUACCCUCUCGGACACCUAGACACACCAAAGAAAAUCCUUCAACCCACACCAACCAUGAAAACAGAAACACAAAAACAGAAACAAAAAAAAAGUCAAACAGUCAUCCCCGUAAGGAGGAACCUCAGCACCAGAAGGUCCUGUAAACAAGCAAAGAAAUCAUCAGUGUCUUUUUGAUAAAAAAAAGAGAGAAAGAGAAGGAAACAAAAAUUUUGAGCCUUGAUCUACGCUGAUCGGGGCUGUUUCUGGUAAAACGAACGUCGGAUCUGGGAAGAUCUCGUUGAAAAAAGCCUCUGAAAAAAUUUUAGUAAUUUUUCAGCCACCGGCGACCACCAUUGACAGCGACCAGUGCGGUGCUCCGACGGCCGGACGGUGAGACUGCUGGAGCUCUCCCCCCAGAGCUCUCAUUUUCUCUUUCUCUUUUUUUUUUUGAAAACAGAAACCAAAUGAACAAAAUUUUUUUUUUCGAUUAUAUAUAAAGGAUUAAGAAGCAAAACAACGUCGUUUUGGUCAAGUAGGAUCCGCGCGUUGACCCGGAUCCGACCCGGGAUCUGCGCAACCCAACCCGUGGACCCGCUCUCCCAACGACUGUUGACCGGUCCGGUUAGGUAAAAAAUAAUUUUUUUUUAAAUUUUCUAAAUUUUUUUAUAUUAUUAUUUUUGUUAUUUUAAGUAUAUUUUUAUAUUUAUCCAUGAUAAAUUUAUAAAUUUGUUAAAAUAAAUGUUUAAUUGUUUUAAUAAUAAUAAAAUUAAAAACAAGUAAUAAUUAAAAAUAUACUAAAAUGCUCAAAAAAAAAAUUUUAUUAUUUUUCUUGCCUAGAUGUUGGAGGGAAUAAAAAUAUUUUUCUAAAAAUAAUUCCGCCUAGAUGUUGGAGAAUUAUUGUUAAUAAUUUUUCAUAAAAAAUAUAUAUAAGAAAUUUUAAUUAGUUUUCAAAAGUUAUAAAAAAUUGAACCUACUCCGAAAGUCUGCCUAGAUGAUAGAGAUUUUUAGAGAUAUUCGCGCUUUACUUAAACCUUAAAUACUAAUUUUUAAUUUUCAAAAUCUUAAGUUUUUAAAACCCCCUAAAACCAAAAUCCCCUUAAAAUCCAAAAUCUUAAAAUACGAAACCUUAAAAUCCAAACUCUUAAAAUCCGAAAUCCUUAAAAUCAAAACCCCCCCAAAAUCCAAAAUCCUAAACCUUUAAACUCUUAAAUCCAAACCCCAAAAUCCAAAAUCUCUAAAAUCCAAGCCUUUAAAUCAAAACCUCAAAACCUAAAACCCCAAAAUCUUCAAACACUAAAAUCAAAACCCUAAACCUUCCAUAUCCUAAAAUUCAAGCUUUAAAACCCUCUAAACCUUAAAACCAAACCUUCAAAACCUCUAUUUAAGCCCUCACUCAAAACUUCCUAAAAAUCCUAAGGAUACGUGUAAAAAUUCUAUUUGAAGCAAUUUGUUCUCGAAUGCGCCUAGAUGAUGGGGUAUUUAGGAAAUUUUACUUCGUUAAGUCUUUUCAUACGAUUUCUUAAUUUGCUUUAAUAAUAAGAUUAAUGAAUAAAAAGUAUAAUAAAAAAUUGGGAUCUNNNNNNNNNNNNNNNNNNNNNNNNNNNNNNNNNNNNNNNNNNNNNNNNNNNNNNNNNNNNNNNNNNNNNNNNNNNNNNNNNNNNNNNNNNNNNNNNNNNNNNNNNNNNNNNNNNNNNNNNNNNNNNNNNNNNNNNNNNNNNNNNNNNNNNNNNNNNNNNNNNNNNNNNNNNNNNNNNNNNNNNNNNNNNNNNNNNNNNNNNNNNNNNNNNNNNNNNNNNNNNNNNNNNNNNNNNNNNNNNNNNNNNNNNNNNNNNNNNNNNNNNNNNNNNNNNNNNNNNNNNNNNNNNNNNNNNNNNNNNNNNNNNNNNNNNNNNNNNNNNNNNNNNNNNNNNNNNNNNNNNNNNNNNNNNNNNNNNNNNNNNNNNNNNNNNNNNNNNNNNNNNNNNNNNNNNNNNNNNNNNNNNNNNNNNNNNNNNNNNNNNNNNNNNNNNNNNNNNNNNNNNNNNNNNNNNNNNNNNNNNNNNNNNNNNNNNNNNNNNNNNNNNNNNNNNNNNNNNNNNNNNNNNNNNNNNNNNNNNNNNNNNNNNNNNNNNNNNNNNNNNNNNNNNNNNNNNNNNNNNNNNNNNNNNNNNNNNNNNNNNNNNNNNNNNNNNNNNNNNNNNNNNNNNNNNNNNNNNNNNNNNNNNNNNNNNNNNNNNNNNNNNNNNNNNNNNNNNNNNNNNNNNNNNNNNNNNNNNNNNNNNNNNNNNNNNNNNNNNNNNNNNNNNNNNNNNNNNNNNNNNNNNNNNNNNNNNNNNNNNNNNNNNNNNNNNNNNNNNNNNNNNNNNNNNNNNNNNNNNNNNNNNNNNNNNNNNNNNNNNNNNNNNNNNNNNNNNNNNNNNNNNNNNNNNNNNNNNNNNNNNNNNNNNNNNNNNNNNNNNNNNNNNNNNNNNNNNNNNNNNNNNNNNNNNNNNNNNNNNNNNNNNNNNNNNNNNNNNNNNNNNNNNNNNNNNNNNNNNNNNNNNNNNNNNNNNNNNNNNNNNNNNNNNNNNNNNNNNNNNNNNNNNNNNNNNNNNNNNNUUAAAAAAAAGAGGAAAAGAUGUUAGAUAUGAAUAAAGCCCCAUGUGAUUAAGUGCCAAGGCUAGAGAAAUGUUUAAAAAAAUAACAAAAAAAAAAAAAGAAUUUUUGAGUCUAAGAUGAAUUGGCGAUCACUAUUAAAAAAUUUUCAAAUACCUAAAUGCCAAUCUGCUCAUUCAGUUGACCCAUUUCAUCAGUCAUGCCCCUUUGAUAACCCUGAAUUCGGAUUUGUGAACCUUAUUGAUAUUGUUGUUAUAUCAAAAGGCAAUUUUCUUUUCUAAGGCAAUGAACAAAUGAAAUAGCCAUUGAAAAAAUGUGUGGUUCCUAAAAAAUCAAGUCUAUAUGACUUUCUUUUUUUGAAAUUCAAAUGUGAUAAUUUGAUAUGACAAGAUUAUGCUGCAGUUUCAAAAUUUUCAAAUCCAAGUCUUGUAAAAUGCACUCAAGCAUACUACAUUUUAGCUUUUUAUCCCAAAAUUAACCCGAUCCUUUGUCUUGAGGUAUAUUUGUCAGAAAAGAAAUACCUCAUUACCUCUAAGGCAACUUAAGUUAUGAUUAACCUUUUUGUUCUCUUUUUGUGGAGUAACUUAGAUCAUUUGAUACCUUAAACAUGUUUACCCCACAUAAUCUUUUUCUUAUCCAUUUCAUAUGACCUUUCUCUUGUAAUUACUUUCAUUAUGGGUGGUUUGCUAAAAUGGGACAUCUUCCAUGAAACGUGUUACUGACAAAAUGAAUCUAGGUGUAAGCUAUGGGGGCAUAACAAAAUAACAACAAAAAAAAGAAAAAAUAGGUUAUGACAUCAUGCACUAAAAAAUUUGAGCAAAUCCAAAAAGGUCAUGACAAAGUCAAGGUUUUGAAAAAAAAAAAAAAACCAAAAAAAAUUUCUUGAGAUUAAAAAGAAAAAUACCUUUUUUCCCAAGUUCAUUAUCCUAAAGAGUAGUAUUCAAUUUAAGUGUUUAUGCUUGAAGUGACAAAUGGCCAUCUUUCAUUAUCUCUUCACAAAAAUAAAAAUUUAUCUCUUGUUACCCUUUUGAGCCUAAUUGAAUUCUUUCAAAAUAAACCGUAACUAAGGAUCACCUUUCAUAUUGGAGGAAAAAAAUGCGUUUGAAGGAUAAGAAUGAGAAUGUCCAAUGAAAUCUCAUAUGAUAGGGGCACAAACCCAAUAUAAAACUUCAUAAAAGUUUUGAAUCCACUCAGUGAAAGGAUGCAAAAAAAAAAAAAAAAGAAAGAAAGAAUAAAAAAAAAAGUGAAUGAGUGGAAAGCAUAAAAUAGAAUAUAUCUUAGAGUGUAUCCUUCCAAUGAAAAAUGAUCCUUAGCUUCAAAUACCGUUAAAUACUUAUUUUGGGCCUUUUUAUCCUUUUCUUUGGCAACCAUGAACCUUAACCUACAUUACAACCUUUGAAAAGUCCAUAUUGGAUCAGGUAUGAAAGCUUAAACUUGAAGAGUUUCUCUUGAAAAAAUAAACAUGAAUUUUUUAGUUUUCUUUUUUGAAAAAAAAAAUUCUUUUCCUCUUUUGGAUUAGAUUUGAAUUCUUAAGUGCAUGGUUGUAAAAAAAAAAAAAGAAAGAGAAAAAUAGAAAUAAAAAUGGCUCUAGGGUGAAAACCCUCAAAAGGGCAGUCUAGAGCCAACCCUGAAAAGUCACUCCUAAUGCUAAGUAUGGUGGAUGCUAAACAAAAAUAAAGCCAAACCUUUUGAAAGAUCUGAAAUAUCAAAGUCAUAGAAGUUUGAGAUGGGUUGAUUAUUCCUAAAUAACCUUUUAAAAUCUCAAGCCCUUACAACUGAUCUUGACAUAUAUCAAAAUGUCGCAUUUGGAGACUAAAAAAAAUAUUGAAUAUGUUUGAUUUUCAAGGAAUUCGUGCUUUUAGAAAAGCUUGUGUUUCAUUUGUGAGCUUACAUGCCUUUUUCACUCCCUUCAAGGAUUGGAACCUUUUGAAUCAACAUCGCUAUCUAUAAAACUAUUACAUCCAUUUGGAAAGAAAAUCCUCACCUUUUUCAUUUUUGAUAGGGAUCACCAAAUUUUUUAAAAAAAAAGGAAAAAAACUUUAAGCCCAGUUUAUCUAGCCAUCAAUAAGGUUUUAAGCCCAGUUUAUCUGGCCAUCAAUAAAAAUUUAAGCCCAGUUUAUCUGGCCAUCAAUGAAAAUUUAAGUCCAGUUUAUCUGGCCUCAAAUGAAGUUUUAAGCUCAGUUUAUCUGGCCAUUAAUGAAGCUUAAGCCCAGUUUAUCUAGCCAUCAAUGACAUUUAAGCCCAGUUUAUCUGGCCAUCAAUAAAAUUUUAAGCCUAGUUUAUCUGACCAUCAAUGAGGUUUUAAGCCCAAUUUAGUUGGCCUUCAAUGAAUUUAAGCCCAGUUUAUUUGGCCCCAAAAGAAGUUUUAGAGUUUCAAAAUUCUAUCCAGAAUAAAAAUUCUCGAUGCAUAACCUUUUGAAAGAUCUUGCAUUUGCAUUACUUGUAUCAUGAUAAAGACAUUUAACCUAAAAAAAAUUAAGAUAUUCAAAUUUGCAUCGCUCAUCUGUGCAUCAUGAAAGGGAUAUUUUCAUUUGCAUCACUUACAUCUGUACCACAAGAAAGACAUUCGCAUUUGUAUCACUUGUAUUUGCACUCGCACAAGAUAUUUGCAUUUGCACCAUAAGAAAAUUCGUAUUUGCACUACCAUGGCAUCCGCAUCAUAAGAAAAGGAAUUUGUAAGAGCAUUUACAUGAAAAGAACAUUGUCAUUGUCAAAUAUAGUUAAAUCAAGCAUUCGCAUUCUUGCAUUUGCAUUGAGAUUUGUAUUUUUAUCAACAUUUCCAUUAGCAUCAUUUGAUCAAGAUAGACAUUUGUAUCAUUGGUUGCAUUCAUUAACUCUGAUUGAAAAAAAUAUAUUUUAAAAAAAAUAAAAUUUUUAAAGUUUCAUUGCCUCUGAUUAUGAGGAGCAUUUAAAAAUUUUGAGAUUUAUAAGACCUCCGCGCAUAAUCUCUAAAAGCCUCUGCGCAUGACUUUCAAGAUUAAAAGAUUUUUAAAUUUUUAAAGUUUCAUUGCCUCUGAUUAUGAAGAGCAUUUAAAGAUUUUAAAAUUUGUAAGACCUCCGGGCAUAAUCUCUAAAAGACUCUGCGCAUAACUUUCAAGAUUAAAAGAUUUUCAAAUUUUAAAGUUUCAUCGCCUCUGAUUAUGAGGAACAUUUAAAGAUUUUGAGAUUUGUAAGACCUUCGGACAUAAUCUCUAAAAGCCUCUGCGCAUGACUUUCAAGAUUAAAAGAUUUUCAAAAUUUAAAGUUUCAUCGCCUCUGAUUAUAAGGAGCAUUUAAAGAUUUUGAGAUUAGUAAGACCUCCAAGCAUAAUCUCUAAAAGCUUUUACGCAUAACUUUCAAGAUUAAAAAAUUUUAAAAUUUUAAAGUUUCAUUGCCUCGAUUAUGAGGAGCAUUCAAAGAUUUUGAGAUUUAUAAGACCUCCGGACAUAAUCUCUAAGAUCUCUGGACAUAAUUUUUAAGACCUCUUGACAUGAUUUUUAAGACCUCCGGACAUAAUUUUGAUUCACAGUGUUAUCUCGAUCGAUUCUUUAUCUUUUAACUUGUAAUGUUAUUCCAAUCGAUUCUGUAAGACCUCUGGGCAUGAUUUAUAAGACCUCUGGGCAUAAAUUUGAUUCGCGGUGUUAUCCCAAUCAAUUUUUUAUCUUUUGACUUACGGUGUUAUCUCAAUCAAUUCUGUAAGACAUCCGGGCAUGAUUUUUAAGACUUUCGAGCAAUUCUGUAAGACCUCCGGGUGUGAUUUGUAAGAUUUUCGGGCAUAAAUUCGAUUCGUGAUAUUAUCUCAAUUGAUUUAUUAUUUUUCGACUUGUGGUAUCAUCCCAAUCGUUUUGUGUUUUUAAAAACAAAAAAAAAAAUGAUUCGGAUAAAAUCGUUGUCUUUGUCUUUGUCCUAUUCCUGAUUCUCAGUAAUGUGUAAAGAGUGGCAGCUGUAGACAUCGAUUUUGUCCGGAUUUACUGUUUUAAUUUUAAUAAUAAUAAUAAUAAUUUAAAAUAAAAUAAUAAUUAUUAAUUAUAUAAAAAAACAUAAAAAAAUAAAAAAAAAGAGAAAAAAAAUAAAAAGUAGGGUGGCUGGCUUGCUGUCGCCCCCGACGAGCCAUUCUACAGCCCUCUGACCAGCCCCCAUACUCAUCAGCCUACAGCCACUUACGGUUACCCUACAAUCACCUAGAUCCCCUUUUGAACCCAUUCAAAUACGGAUCUGAACCCCUUAUAAAAAAAAACCUUCUCGAACCCUUUUCAACCUCUCUCUCGGAUAUCCCUUCUCUAAAUCUUUCGGACAAUUCUUCACCUCCAGACACACUACCUACAAUACCCUCUCGGACACCUAGACACACCAAAGAAAAUCCUUCAACCCACACCAACCACGAAAAUAGAAACACAAAAAUAGAAACAAAAAAAAAAGUCAAACAGUCCUCCCCGUAGGGAGGAACCUCAGCACCAGAAAGUCCUGUAAACAAGCAAAGAAAUAAUCAGUGUCUUUUUCAUAAAAAAAAAGAGAGAAAAAGAAAGGAAACAGAAACUUUGAGCCUUGAUCUACGCUGAUCGGAGCUGUUUCUGGUAAAACGAACAUCGGAUCUAGGAAGAUCUCGUUGAAAAAAACUUCUGAAAAACUUCUAAAACGGUGGCCGGACGGCGAGACUGCUGGAGCUCUCCCCCCAGAGUUCUCUCUCUCUCUUUCUCUUUUUUUUUUUUUGAAAACAGAAACCAAAUGAACAAAAUUUUUUUUUUCGGUUAUAUAUAAAGGAUUAAGAAGCAGAACGACGUCGUUUCGAUCAAGGAGGAUCCGCGCAUUAACCCGGAUCUGAUCCGGGAUCCGCGCAACCCGACCCGUGGACCCGCUCACCUAACGAUUGUUGACCAGUUCGGUUCAGGUAAAAAUUUUUUUUUUUUGAAUUUUUUGAAUUUUUUUAUAUUAUUAUUUUUGUUAUUUUAAGUAUAUUUUUAUAUUUAUGCAUGAUAAAUUUAUAAAUUUGUUAAAAUAAAUGUUUAAUUGUUUUAAUAAUAAUAAAAUUAAAAACAAGUAAUAAUUAAAAAUAUACUAAAAUGCUCCAAAAAAAAAAUUUUUAUUAUUUUCUCUGCCUAGAUGUUGGAUGGAAUAAAAACAUUUUUCUAAAAAUAAUUCCGCCUAGAUGUUGGAGAAUUAUUGUUAAUAAUUUUUCAUAAAAAAUAUAUAUAAGAAAUUUUUAAUUAGUUUUCAAAAGUUAUAAAAAAUUGAACAUGCUCUAAAAGUCUGCCAAGAUGAUGGAGAUUUUUAGAGAUGUUUGCGUUUUACUUAAACCUUAAAUACUAAUUUUUAAUUUUCAAAAUCCUAAGUUUCUAAAACCCCCUAAAACCCAAAAUCCCCUUAAAAUCCAAAAUCUUAAAAUCUGAAACCUUAAAAUCCAAACCCCAAAAUCCAAACUUUUAAAAUCCGAAAUCCUUAAAAUCAAAACCCCCCCAAAAUUCAAAAUCUCUAAAAUCCAAGCCUUUAAAUCAAAACCUCAAACCUCAAAACCCAAACCCCAAAAUCUUCAAACACUAAAAUCAAAACCCUAAACCUUCCAUAUCCUAAAAUUCAAGCUUUAAAACCCUCUAAACCUUAAAACCAAACCUUCAAAACCUCUACUUAAGCCCUCACUCAAAACUUCCUAAAAAUCCUAAGGAUACGUGUAAAAAUUCUAUUUGAAGCAAUUUGUUCUCGAAUGCUCGCCUAGAUGAUGGGGUAUUUAAGAAAUUUUACUUCGUUAAGUCUUUUCAUACGAUUUCUUAAUUUGCUUUAAUAAUAAGAUUAAUGAAUAAAAAGUAUAAUAAAAAAUUGGGAUCUUAAAUAUAAACAGUCGCACCUAAGCUCUACCUAGAUGUUGGAGAGUCGGGGUGGUCUCAUUAUACUUAAGAAUCCAACUAUUAAAUUGCAUUUCAUUUCUCAUGACAUUCAUUAGUAUACAUACAUUAGCAUGUUAUUAUCAAUAAUUGUCUACAUUAUUUUAUCUUUAAUUUACUGUUUGAUAAUAAAAUAUUUAUAAUAAAAAGAAUAAUACUUUAAAAAAAUUUUGUGAUAUUAUAAAAUAAAAUAAAAAUAACAUUCCGAAAGAAAAAUUUUUUAGUACUCUUCCUAGAUGUUGGAGAGUCAUUAACAAUUAUUUUCUAUAAAGAUUGUUAUUUCAUUUUAAGGAUUAUUGUGUUAAAUCUUAAGCGAAAAUAGUUAUUUCAAAUUCUGCCUAAAUGUUGAAGAAUUUUAAGAUAAUUCUUUAACUUAAAGAUUUUAUCAAUAUUUUUAAAUAAAAAUUUUAGCAAAAAUAUUUUUUUAAAAACGAAGGGAAUUAGUAUUAAAUUUCAAGUCAAAAUCAUUUUUAUCCAACAUUGAAAAUAGCGCAUAGUUGAAUGGUACCAAUUUAUGGGCGUUGUGGGGGUGCUAAUCCUUCCCCACACGUAAUCGACUUUCGAACCCAACCUGAUUAUUCGUUGACCAAAAUUUAUCUUUUUGAUAAACUUUAAAUCCAUUUUUAUAGUUUUAUUAAAAAUAUAAAUUUUUGGAUGGUCAAUCACACCCUAACAAAGAUUGGUGGUGACCUCUCCCCUUUUAUUUUUCUCGAUUUUAAAAAACUCAUUUUACGUCUGACGAUCUCAAAACCGUUACGAUAAUUGUCUCGGUAAACGGUGACGUGAAUAUACUACUAAUAUACUCUGCAAUGGUGCAGGUUGUGUACUACAAGAGAAUCAGUCGUGUGUUCUUCAUUGAAGCCAUCCCAAAGGCACCAUCAGGCAAAAUUUUGAGAAAGGAAUUGAGAGCUAAACUUUCUAUUGGAAACUGUUGAAACUUGUUCCCACAUCCCCCAUUUCCAUGGUAGUUUGAAAUAAUACACCAGGAGUGCAAGGGACCCUGUUAUAAGGAAAUGGGACUGCUGAUAUAUGUUCCUCCAAUCUGGCUAUAAAACGUGAGUUUGGAAAGAAUGUAAAUUAUGAGAUAAAGAAUUCAAUUUGCUAGAAGACAUAUAUAAUUGUUUAAUAUCCUGUUUUUUUGUUUUUUUUUCUUUUUUGGUAAAUGGAAGAAGAUGUAAGUUUCAUUUAUUUGUAAGAAUAUUAUCUCAUGGCAUAUUGUUUCGGAUAAAGCAAUUUGAAUUCUUAACUACUCUUUAAUUUCUAGUUUUUUCUAUUUUUUUUAUUAAUUUUGUCUGCUCUGCUCCAUUAUGAUCAAUAAGUAGGCCAAAAGAACAUUAAUGAUGCAUGAAACAAAAAAAUGUUCAACAAAUUUAAUCAAAAAAAUGUAGUAAUCAAAUUUGUGGAGUAGCUUUGUAAGCCAAUGUUAGAAUCCAAAAACUGACCAACUGGUCCUGAAAUCCAAACUCCACUUGCAUAAAACAGUUACCAUGGAAAAGAUUAAACAAAGAAAACUGUUCACUGUUUAGGUUGCUUGAUGCCUUUUUGGGACACGCAUGGCAAACAUUAGAGAUAGAAGUUCACAAUAUAUAUUGCCAGGAUGCAAUAUGCAUUAACUAUGCCUUAAUCUUAGCACAAUUACUGAGAUUUAAGAUAUAUGGUCCCCCAAUUGUGCAAACAAUAAUUUUCAAUCUGAAAUCUCGCCAUUCACUUAUCUUGUUCAUGCUUGGUUCCCAAAUCCCAAACUUCUAUCAUCUCUUCAGGACAGACAAUUAACAUUUAAUUCCAUGUGCAGAAAAAAGCUGGCAAAUCGAACAGACUCUUCCAUGAAAUUUAUCAGAUCCUACUAUUAUAUAUAUACUCACAGCUCACAGAUUACUUUAUAGCACUUCCCCAAUUACCCAAAAAGGAUUCAGAGGGUUGGGUAAGUGAAGGAAAAAGAAAAAAGUAGUAUACUUUAAAAAGGCAUAAUACCGAGUUACAUUUAACCUUAACAGCAACAGGCAAGCAGCUAUUGAUAUAACAUAUACCAACUCCAUCGAUAUGAUGAUUAUUGUCAGCUUGGUGAAAAAGCAAAAGUGCGGCAUUAAACUUCUCCUGUCCCCCUCAAAACCCAAUAGGAUUACGCCAAUCAGGCCAAAAAGACAAAAGGAAACUAGGAGAAAAUUGUAGAUAUACCACACUAUAGCCCCAUAGAACCAAACAGGAUUAACAUUGAUUGAUGAAGCCUAUAAUUUGAGGAAGGGUGUGCGUUUGUUGCCUGCUAGUCAUCACCAUGGAUGUACCAGCAAAGGAGCAUAGUGGCACAGCGGCGCAGUAUGUAGAGUCGAGCACGUUGCUGCUUAACCAAGGAAGCACACUUGGUGGAGAAACCAUGUCCCUUUCUCUCUGCGGAGCCCUUGACUCCACAGUUGUAUUGCUGGGACUGAAACUCUGCCAUCGCUAAUACAAAAGUAUUUUACUAGAUUUGCUAGAAAAAAAGCUCAAAGUAGAGCUUGAGGCCGUGUGGGUUACGGGUAAAGUAUAUAUAAAAUUACAAUCCCAAAAUCCAAGAAAGGUUAACUGGACUAUGAAGGAAGCAAGUGAACAUGGUCAGGUUCAAAAACUGAGGGAUUUGCAUUUGCAUGGAAGAUGCAGCAUAGUUUUCUAUACAAAGGGGGAGUGAACGUGGUCUUUAGGCUUUUAUUGCCUCUGGGUUCAAAUACCAUCCCAUUACCUGUAACACCUUCCUGAUAAUUAAUAAUUAUUAAUUAACUAAUGUGGAUUAGAGAAGUGGCAAAGGUGAGCAUGAAAAGUGGAGAGCUGUUUAAUGAAGACAAGGCAAGGGGUUUGGCUUAUGGGAACAGUGUCACGGCAAGAUGGCCUCAAUUUUGAGGCAGGAAGUUGGUUUGGUUGGAUUACUUAGAUUUUCUCCACCGUGGGUCAUACGCCCAACUCUCUCUCUCUCUGCUUCGUAUGCGCACAACUAACAAGUUUUUCCCACUUUGAAAGAAUAAAAUCUUGAGCAAGUUUUUUGUCCUCCAAAUUAUGGAAAUAUCCCUGAAUGAAAGACGUGGAAAUCAAUCUGUCAGAAUCCAAGUAUUAUAUCAUUGGAGGUGAAAGAAUCAAAAGACCAACUGAAUUUCUUGAUUCAUAAAAUAUUGUACAGCUGAGUUUGCUUUAAGUAAAAGAUCACAAGAACUCUGAGCAGGUUCUUUGCGAGGAAACCAACAGUUAUCAGACUAACAUUACUCUGUUGACUAUACAGUGAUGAUGCAUGCUUGCUUGCCUAGACAGCUCAAGCUAACGUUUUCAGAGUAUAUUGCAUGAUCAUUCGAACAUAUUUGGAUACGGAAUAUUUUAUCCUUUCCAAGUAUCACCGUUUCGAGCUAGUCAAUGCAGUACAUCUCUAUCUCCACAGUCCACACUCAAAUCCCUGAUGCAGAACAUGCAUCCGUUGUCACCAUCACCAUAAAAUGCUACUCCUGGUAUCUCAAACACAUACACAAUAAAACUUGAACCUAACAUAUCAAAGUUAAAUUUUAAUAUUUGCAACUUUUUUUUCUUAAAUUACAACUUUUUAUAAAAAAUAAAUUAUAUAAUGAUUUAGUUUAUUUUAUAAAUUUCAUUUCUUAGGUCUUAAUAUUCGAAAUUUGAAACAUUUAAGACAAAAUCUAUAUAUAUAUAUAUGUAUAUAAUAUGAACAUUAAAAGAAUCUUUGUCUUACGAUUAAAAAAAAAAAAUCUUUGUCACAUUUGGCUCUUAUCCUUCUCCAAAAGACGUCAUAACUAUCUGAGGCAUUAAAAAAAAAAAAAAGAAAGCCUUUGGUUUUCUUCAAUUCUCAUAUAAAAUAUACACCAAUUAGAAAGACAAUUAUGAUUUGACUUAACACAAGUCACACCCUUUCUAUCUAAAUAGAUUUUAAGCUUAUAGUUAUUAUUCAUUAAUUACAUCAAAAUUUCUUUGUUUUAUACUUUUUAAUCAUUUUUUGUAAAUAAAAACUUUAUACGCUAUAUGAUGAAACUAAUUCUCAGUUUAUUACUGAGAUAUCUUCUCAAAAAUAUUUUUGGUUGAUCGUCAAUAUGUUCUUUACUGAUUGUUUUUCAUUUCAUUGUCAAAUAUUUUUUGCAUUUUUAAUUUUUAUUAAACAACAAAUGGCAUAUUAAAUGAAAAUAAAGAAUUCAAAUUCAAUAUCUUCACAUCAUAAACUUUGAUUUUAAUCUUUAUAUUAAGAUUUCAUUAACACUUUCAUUAUUAUAAUUUUUUGUUGAAUCUAAAAAUAUCUAUUAUUUUUUAAGGAUUUAUGUUUGAUAUACUACCAAUUAUAAAUGGUAUAAAUUUUAUAUGUUAUUAAUAACUUAAAUAAUACCGCAUCAUUAAUGAAGUGAAUUAAAUAAUAUUAUUUUAUUAUUGAAUAAAUUUUUUAAAAAAUAGUAAGUUUUUGUAUAUUUAUUUUAAAAGUUAAUAUUUGUUCAUUAAUUAAAUAAUAUUAUUUUAUUUACUGAGAUCAUAUUAAAUCUAUACAUUAAUAAUGAAUCAAAUAUAAAUUUUUUUUAACAAAAAAUCAAAUUUUAAAAAUAAAAAGUAAUGUUAUAUAUACUAAAAUUUGAACUUUAGAUAUCAUAUUUUACAAAUAUUUGUAUGAUCCAAUUUAAUUAAAUUUGUAUUUAAUCAAUGAUUAAUGAUAUCUCUGCAUAAGGUUGUGUAAAAUCUAUUGCCCUCAUUAAUGCAAAAGAGGCCAAUUUGUUCCAAUAAUUUGGCUUAUAAUUGAAAGCAUUUUUGAAAAAUUGAACUAGUUUUUGUUUAAGGAACCAAUGAAAGCUACAAAUGCGAUGGUGGGCCAAACAGUCUCGAGCGGGUUUCGUCGGCUUCAACUUUGGAAAAAAAAAAAAAUUGAUAAAAAAGUGGUGGUGGAUUAUGUCACUUUUACAAACUUUAAAAGUCUGGAAGGCUCUUCCACCCUAACACAGCCCUAACCACAGCUCCCCCAUUUUUCUUUUCAUUCUCCCAUUUGGUCCUUAUGACUAAUCAUCACCGUUUUUGUUUUGUUUUGUUUUAUUUUUUUUUCUUUUUUUAGUAAUCAUCACUGUAUCUUCCCUAUGUAUUAUGCUACGUGACAUUGUUAAAUUAUAUAUUAUGUAUAUAUAUAUGUAUUUUUUUUUUUUAUGUAAUGGUAGUGAAAUUUUUUAAUUUUAUAGAUAGAAUUAAGAGAGAUUGUUAUAUGUUUAAUUUUUCAUAAUAAUUUUUUUAUUAUAUUUAAAAAAUAUGUAUCAUCUUAUUAAGCAAAAUUUAAAAAUUUUACUAUCAAUAAAUAUGAUAAUUUAUGUAUGUAUAUAUAUACAUACAUAUAAUAAAUUUAUAAUAUAUGUAUAUAUGUAUGUGUGUGUGUUUGAACAUAUAUAUCAUUUGUUUUAUCUUACGUCUUUCAAUAAUUAUAAUUUGAGACAUUAAUUAAAAUAAUUAUAAUAUGAAACAUAUUAAUUAAAAAUUUUGGGAAUUGAAUCUUGAGAACGAGUGAGCAAUGAGAUUAACGAAAUAAGAAAAGAUUACUUUUUAUCGUUAUAUCGGCUGCAAUUACUAUGAGUGCAUUAAUCAUGAAUCAUAAAUUUUUUAAAACUUGGUUUAAUCUGAUUCGGCCAAAGUAAAUGCUAAAUGAGACAAAUUAUGAAUCCAACUUUUGAUUUGAAAAUUGAUUGUAGAAUUUCGAGUUUAGUUAUGGAAAUUUUAGCUUUGAUUUGAUUGAAAGUUUUGAAGUAUACCAAAUUUAUGGACUUAAUUUCUAAGUGAUGGAGUAUAAAAGUUGUUUAGGGUAUCAGACAAUAUUCCUUGUGGGUCAAAAGAAAAUUAAAAAAUACUAAAGUUAGAUAUAUAAUAAUCUUUAUAAGUAAUUAAAUAAUAAUUCAAAGGCUGUUCCAUUAUAAUCACUCACCACUGAACAUCUUUCAAAACUUAGAAUUAAAACAGUAUAUUUUUGUUUCUGUUUAAAAAUAAUAAUAAUAACGAUUGUCAAUUUAGACUGCUGUAGUUGGUUUGGGGGGUUAGGAAAACAUGACAAAAUGCAAAAUGAAGAGCUAUGAAUCUAGAAGCUGUACAUGUCCUUUGGAAAUGAUAAUUUUAUGUUCAUAUAUAUCACACUUUCCAAUUGCAUUAUUCUUAUCUAAUAAUGUAUAAGGGGCUAGAAUGUCAAAUCUUGCUUUAUACCCAAUUUUUUUCUUUUAUAUAUAUAUAUAUAUAUAUAUAUAUAUAUAUAACAUAAACACUUGAAUUAGAUGGCUUUUCUCAAAUUUACAUAAUCAAAAUCAAGUAGCCUUUAGGUAUAUAUGUUCAAGGAAUGCCUAUUUUGUUUGGAUAUAUAUAUUCAUAUUUUCAUGAUAAAUUGAAUUUGAUAUUUAAUGUAGUUGAUUCAUGUAAUUAUUUUUAAAAUUUAAAAAAUUUGAUAUUCAAAUUUUAAUAUUUAUAAUCUUUAUUAUUGUUCUUAAAUUGCUACUUUUUUUCUAUUAAAAAAAUUAAGAAUUUUCACGAAUAUUUUUUAUUACCACAUAAGUAAUUGGUGGAACUGAAAGGAAAAUUAAUUAGCAAAUUAAUUAAAGUUAACCUCAAUGCAAAAUGGAUGGAGGGAUAUGACAAGAAUAAUUCUCAUCAUGUAGUAGAUCAAAUUUUCAAUAUUCAAUCCUAAAAUCAUAUCAUAACAUCCCUCCUUUAUUGGGUUAUUCUUGAAUUUAAUAAUGUCACCUAAAAAAAUUUUGAAGGGUGUGAAAGCAGUCUUCUAAUGUUCAUUGAAAACCCUAAAAAGGAGCAGAAUCCAUUCAUUAAAAAAAAAAUGCAAGAUAUGGCAGCAUUGCUCAUUAAAGAUGCCAUCAGAACCAACCAUACUGUUUGAAUAAGAUAAACAGAAUCAACGUGAGCCAUAUCAUGCCAAGCAUCAAAAGGUUUCUACUGAAAUUGCUUAUUUGUUUGGGACCUUUUGGAGAUUAGCUUCUUUUAUUUUCGAUUCUAUAUAUGUUGUCCUUACUUAUUAUUCAACGAAAAACUGGUUAUGGGAUAUGUUGGUAUAAUAAAUAUAGGUCAAAUUAUGCUAAAGGUUUCUAUAUUUUACCAAAAUUUAAAAUUUAAUUUUUAUAUUAUAAUUUAUAUAAAUUUAAUCAUUAUAUUAUUUUAAUUAAAUAAUUUUAAUCUAAUAAUUAAUUUUUUAUUUUUUUAUUUAACGUGAUCAUUGACUUGAUAACAUGAACAUUGACUUUGCUAAUGUAGUGUUAGUUGCUAAUAUGACAACUUAAAUGGAUGAAAUCAGUUAUUAAAUUAUGUAAAUAAUCCAUAUGGUUACAUAAAUUUUGAAAUUUAAUUUAUCUAAUAUAAAAAAUAUUUAGAAUUUUUAAAAUAUUUUUAAAAUAUUAAAUUUUAAAAAUAUUUUAGUCCCUAAUAUAAAAAUAUUUUUUGAAAUAUAUUAAUUUUUUAUAUAUAAUUAAUUAUUAAUAAUAUCAUAUUAAUAAUAAUAUUAUUAUCAUCAUUUAUAUUAAUCAAUUAUAAAAUUAAUAAUUUAAAUUAAUAUAUCGAAAUUAAUAUUAUUUUAAUUAAUUUAAAUAUAUUAUAUAAUAAGAUUUAUAAUGAACCAAACUACUGAAUAGAAUUAUAUUUGUAAUAAAUUCGAAAUAGACCAUAAAUAAAAUUGACCUUUUCAACCAAUCAAACAAAAUAAAAGAUUCAAACCUAUAUUCUUACGAGCGAUGAGUAUCUAUUUAUUUAAAGGAUGAACUUUUAAUCCUAAUAAAACAAAAGAAAGAAAUGAUUUAUUUGAUAAAUUGAAAUAUCAAUAUCGAGUAUCAUAAAGAGGUUUUCACCCAAAAAAAAUCUAAAUGAUUAUGUUAAAUUAAUAAUAAGGUUAAUUCUAAAAUCAAUACACAUUGAGUUUAGUAAAUAUUUUAAUGUAUUUAGAAUUUUGAACCUAAAAUUGAUUAUAAAAAAUCAUUUAAAUAAGAUUUAAUUUAAAAGAAUAGAAACACUAUUUAAUGGAAAAUUUUACAUUUAUGGGAAGUAAUUCUAAUUCUAAUUCAUUUAACAAAUUAAUAAAAAAAUAAUUUUAUUAAAAUUAGAUAGUGACAAAUUUGUGAUAGAUUUUUAAUAGAUUUGUGUAAGAAAUUUUUUUUCCUAUUACUAUAAUAGAUUUGUAUCAUAUGUUGUGUAUAUAUGUAAAAAUUCAUAUCUAAUCUACGAGUUAUUAUCUAUUUUGAUCCGAAAGUUUUAUGUUUUUAUCCUACAAAAAUAUUCACAAGUAUAAGUUUAAGUUUUUACAUAUUUAUCAAGCAAAUCAUCAAAAUAUCUCGACAAUGAAUUGAGUUAUCAUAAACUUUUUUGGUAAAGCUUAAUAUUCUCUUCAAGCCUAACACAAAACACAUAGAAUCACAAACCUAGGAUCACUCCAAAUGUUAAAAUUAUAGAGUGAUUCUUAUUAUAUAACACAUAGUUCCUGUUCCAUUAUAACCGCUUUGAUACUAUUAUCACUUAAUCUACGAGGUACUGUUUGUUUUGACAUGAAAGUCUCGCAAUUUUAUUUCAUAAAAAAAGUCUCACAAGUAAAGAUUUAAAUUUAUAUAUAUAUAUAUAUAUCAUAACAAAUUCUCAAAACAUACCAAUAUGAGAUUGGAAUGUUACAAAGUUAUUAAGUGUUAAAAAAUAAAAUAUAUAAUUUUUCAUACACAAUUUUUAAACAAUAACAAUAUCCUUAAAAAACAUUAAGAAAUAAUAAAAAAUUCAAUUAAAUAAUAUUUUUGUUACAAGUAUUAUAAUGAGAUUUUAUAUUUUAAAUUGAAAAACAGAUUCUUCCAUUCUUAAGCAUUUCUUUCCUUUUUGCAAAGAAAGACAUUUCCUUACUAGAGAAACGAAAUUGAAAGGAGACUCACUUGGGAUGUCCUUCAUGAAUGUGGGAGAUCAUCUUUUCUGGUUGUUUGCUUCUGGUCUAGGCAUGAAUAUUCUAUGAAUAGAGUAAUUGUAAUACUUCAAUCUCAUAUCAAGAUAUUUUGAGAAUAUAUUAUGAUAUAUAUAUAUAUAAUUAAGAUUUAAAUUUAUAUUUAUAAAAUUUUUUUCGAAAUAAAAUUAUGAAAUUUUUAAAUGAAAACGAACAAUAGCCACAGUUUGGAUGCAGUCACUGAGGAAAGUGCCUAAAAUUAUCUUCUAGUGGACCAAAGGCCUAUGAUUAUCAGUAAGGUAAGUGCUUUUGGGCAAUUUCGGAGCCCAAAAGCACACCUUUUGUUUACGGAAAUUUGUCUCCUUAGCUGAUCUUUGCCUUGUUACCUACACAAUGCAGGAGAUCAAAAGCAUGUUUGCCAAAGCUAUAUAGCAUAUUUUCUUCCAGAAAAAGUUAAUCAAACACUUAAAUGAAAAUUCAAUGACUCAUGCAUGGCACAAGAAAGUUUAAAAUCCUUUUCUAUUAAGCAUUGUUGUGGAAGGUAAAUUAGCAGAUUAUUCUUUCGCUUGCUUUAGUGAAAUACUGAAAAUGAUAAUAUGUUUCCCAAGAGAGGUUAUCAGCAUUUGAAUCCUGAUUAUUAAAACUAAGAGUUCAGCACUCUAUCUGAUGCCUUCUUUGAUAGCUUCUCCCAUGCAGUUCUUAUGGUUUCAUACUUCUGUUUUAAUGCGUAUUUAAGCAUGCAACAAAAAGACUACUAUAAAAUGAACUGGUAACUUGAUUGAUCAAGAACAAGCUCCAAUGGACAAACAUCUGUCACAAACUUUUAGAAUAGUGCCAAGCGAUUCUCAGUAGCAAGUUGAGCAAAUAGUUCAUACCUCAGUACAUUUAUUCUUCUUGUUCUUCACGAACUAGAACAUUAAACCAAAUUAGACUUCUUCACAUUUGAUGCAAACAAUUUCUUUCAGAGACUAAAAACAACUUAGGUAUAAUGUUUACUGUGGUGUAGUCUAGUUUAGUUGUACUCUCAAUUCCUCUGGCAGCCACCAUGAUUGUUAUUCCACUCUUCCUCGCAACCAUAACAAAACUGGAAAUUACACCUGCAACCACAAUCAUAGAGCAACUCCCUGAUCAAUCAUCAAUGCUCUUUUUAAGAAGUUUUUCAUGCACAAACUGAAAAUUUUGUUGAUAAGAUAAUUCUCAUGUCCACAAUUCUAAAGAGUCCAGUAUAAACCCAUCUGUAUGAGUUCAAGGUCAAGAGGAUUUAACCCAUUCCAGUAUAUUGAGAAUAACAUCUACUGAUCUACAUCUACCUAUCCAAAUUCCAAAGAAACUCAACCUGUGAAAUUUCAAACUUUGACCCUUGGCUAAACCUGAAAAAUAAGAUGCUUUAACGAAGGAACAAUGGAACAUUCACAUUUUCAUGGGUAUCUUAUUUAGAUUUUCUCAAAUAAGAAAGUAAAAAUGGACAAGAACAAUAAUUCAAAAUCAUUGGUGAAUCAAUAUUAGAAAUUACUAGAUAUUAACUGACCUGCAAGUCAUAUGUGGACAGCCUUCUGUCCUUUCCACAUAGUAUUUGCACUUGGGGCACCUAGACCAUUUAUUCUCCCUGGCAAGUUCCCUCACCAUGAGAUCUUCUUUCCCUCUUUCGUCCUCAUUAAGCCUCUGGAAAUCUUCACAAUCAAUCCCUGUAUGCCAGGGCACAUGACACUGAGCACAGAACAAUCUAUGGCAGAAUGGGCACUCAGAUUCUCUAAUAACUUCUCCUCCAUCAUCAUUCAACAAUGGGGCUGAACAAUCCCUGAAAGGACAGUAAAAUCUCUGGAAUGCAUUAAUAAACUCUUGACUGAGAGCAUCUUCCCAGCGAUGGACUAGCCCCUCUGGAAGCAUAGGCCUGCAAGUAUCGAGUUCCAACACAGCCCUGCAAUUCACUCCUGGGCACGUAAUAAUCGUUAUCCUUUCUUCAAUCCUAGCCAAAACAUGCUUGGUUAUGCACUCAGAACAGUAAGAGUGAACGCAGCUUUCUGUUGUGAACAUCUGAUCGCUUUCCUUCCUUUCAACACAAAUCUCACAGAAGCUCAAGGAGGAUUCACCAGCGUCCGUUGUUCCUAUCGCCACUAACUCUGACUGAGGCAUGGCUUGGAUUAAUAUUGGGGAUGAAGCAUGGGUGAUGCAUGCGUCGGAGAUGCUGUUACCUACUUGUGAAUAGAUCGUGGAUGACAUCAGAGCCUCUUGAAACUGCAACUCUUCAGCAUACUUGGCAUCAGAUGGAGGAAAGAUUUCAUCUUCAUCUACAUCAAAGAGUGCUGAGUAGUAAAAAUCAUCCACAAAAUCAAGAUCAGAUGUUGGUAUGAUUUGUGCCAUAAUACCAAAGACUCUUGCUUAAUUAUUUGGUCACUGUCUCUCUACAAGGUACAAAAUGGAGGAAGUAGCAUGGCUUUCCAAGUAACUUAGCAUUGAAGAUCCCUAGCCUGAUUGAACUACUUCAUUAAGAAGUUAAUCAUAAAAACUUUUUGACUUUGAGGUCUCCCUUCUUUCCUCUUGACUAGACUUUGUGCCUUACUGGUAUAUGGGAAAAAGCUCUUUCAUCGGCUGUGAGUGGGACAAAAAGCAAAAUCAUAAUAUAAAAUUUUAUUGGUGUAUAACUAUAUAUAAUAUAAUUCUAUGAGCUUUAAAUUGUGGGAGAAAAUCCAUCAUUGAUUUAAAAAAUAUAUUAAAAAUCAAGGGAAAAAAAAAUCAAUUGUGAUUCUUCAUAUCUCUCUCAAUAGUUUUGCAUAUUUUUCUACAACAUUUAAUAAUUUUUCUUUACUCUUUCAUAUGAUUCAAGAUUAACAACAAUGUAUAUCUAAAAAUAAUAAUAAUAAUAAUAACAACAAUAAUUUAAUUAGGUAAAAAAGAUAAAAAAUAAAAAAAACAUUAAAAAAAAACAGAGAAUAACGACAACGUAACACUUAGAUAAUAUAUAUUAAUCAAUUCUUGAUAUAACUUCCGUUCUUAUUUUCUAUCUCUUUCACUUUCCAAAUUAUCAUCAUUCACUUUUUUAAAAAAGUACAUAUUAAUCACAUAUACUAUUAAUAAAAUCUAAGAGGAAUUAAAAUUGACAUAUGAACUUUAAAAUAUCAUAAUUUUAAAAAAUAAUAAAUAUCAACAAUAGUGUAGAUUGUUGUAAAGUGAUACAUUUUUAAUUUUAAUGAUAAUAAUUUAAUUUUUUUAUAGUUUUAUAUAUAAAAAAAAUUAAUACAAUAAAAACACAAAAUAAUUUUUUAUUUAAUAUUUAAAAAUAUUAACAAAUUCAUCAAUCAUCUUCGUUCAAGGACUUAACGUAAAUUAUGUGAUGUUUACUAACUAUCACAUCAAAAGUUUUUCCUAUGAAACCAUAACAAAAAUGUAAAACUUCCAGUCCAAGCUGGAACAUAAAGCACUGCUAUUAUUACAAGCCGCGUGCCCAAAAGGCCAUACCCCACUCGUCGAAGAAAAUAAAAUCUGGUUUCCCAUCUGAGGCAGGGCCCCUACGCAGAAGUAUGUGCCCUUGUCCAUGUAAAAAGGGCAUUUAUGAGCGCUUUGUUAAUCAAUUAUCAUUGAUUGUGAUGAUUGAAGGUCAUUAGUAAUUCCCGAGAGGAAAAAAAAAAAAAAAAAACAAGGUCAGGAAAACUAUACCAGCUUGGGAAUUACAAGUUUAUUACCUUUUCGUGGAUUGAAUAUUAGUUCAAAUAAUAUGUACAUUGAUUAAAUUUUUAAAAAUUAUGAGUUAGUUAUAUUUUUUUAAGUCGUCAGUUCAAAUGGACUUAAGAAUAUAUAAGUAAAAAUAAAGAAUUAAGAGUAAACAAGAAAAAUUUUAGAUGAACUUUUAUAAAUGAAGUUUCUAAAAUUUGUUAUUAGAAAUGAAUGAAUAAAAAUUAAAAUUAAAAAUUAAAAUUGAUAGCUUAAAAGAGUUCAUAACAUAAAUUAUACAUGUAAAAUUUAAAAAAUUUUAAUAUAUUUAUUAAAUAAAUAUUUUUAAUAAAAAUAUUGAUAAAAUUUUUAUUAUUAAAUAAAUAUCGAUUAAAUUUAAAUUAUAAAUAAUAUUUUUAAUAAUUUUGUUAUAUAUUAUUGAUUUUUACAUUAAAUUUUAUCAAUCUAUUAAUUUAAAUUUUUUUAAAAAUUUUUUAUUUAUUUGUUUCUAAUAAGGAACUUCGGUUGUGGCCUUUCAUAAAAAUUUUGUCAACCCUCCCUGCAAGAGUGGUGUGUGCUCCUCUGCAGGUCAGGGUUCAAUUUUAUGUUUCGCCUUCCUCUUAAAAAGAGAUAUCCCUAGACGCCAGUUGAUUAAGCACACCCAAAGAAAAAAAAAAUCAUGAGCAAAGAACUCUAUUAAGUUCUUUGCUGAUUUUCUAUUCUUUUGGUGCGUGGCCAAGUCAAUAAACAAAAGAUUCCCGUUCAAUUACUAUCAUGAAGAAAUUUGUGAAAUAAGAUUGGUUCUUACAAACAAACGAUAGCAUCAGCUUUCCACUUUGGAGGUUUCUGCCUUUGAUUUUCAUUGCGAACCCUUACGGUGAGCUAAUAAUUUGACUAAAUUGAGGCUGCUAGACCUAAUUUUGCAGUGAAACUUCUAAUCAUACAAACUCUAUAAACCAUCUACCCUGAAAAUAUACAAGCCAUGCAUCAUCAGGGAUAAUACAUUAAUUAGUCAAAGCUGAUUGUUUAUUUCCACAUUCCAAUUUUCAUUGAAUUUGCGCGGGAGCUUUCCACUCUUCAAUCCUCAUCAAUACUGGGGUUGCCGUUGUACUGAUAUGGAGUGUCCUCCUCGAUCAGGGAGGCCACGGCAGGUUCAGGAUCCCCUGUAUGCACAGGAUUUGCAUCUGAUUCCUGCAACUUCUCAAGCUCUUUCACCCUUGCUUCAAGAAUUUUGAUUUGGUCCUUGUAAAAGUUCUCCACGGAGUCCAUCUGAGAAACACCACUCAACUUUCAGUCACCAUUAAAAUGUACUUAAUAUUGUUUCCGUUAGUACCAACCUAAUGCAUAAAACAAAAUUUAUCUGGAUUUUUUUUUUUUGAGUCUAUUACCUCUUCCUUGUUUUGUUCAUGCAGUAAUUGGACCCUCUGUUUGAAAAUAUGGAUGUCAUUCAUUUUCUGUUGCAGGUUCCUACUCAGAUUAUUAACGGAUCCUUCAAAAGUUGUUACGCGUCUUCUUUCUUCUUCAAGCCUGUCCUUCAACAGGAUAAAUUGUUGGCUAUCCUCGCUCAUUUUCUCGAUUUCCUUAAGAACCACCUCUUGAUAUGAUUUCAGCUCAUAUCUGAUCUUUGAUUUACCUGAUCAAUAGAAAUAACGUGUCACUUGAAGAGAAUAUGGACUGUAAACAAGAGUAAACUUAAUGCAUGUCAGUCGUUCUGUAUUCAGGAGAUGCAGUUGAAUGAUCCAAGGCAAGUAAUUGAAACCAUUAAAAGUAUCUAAAGAGACACAGAAGGGAGAGAGCACCUUGGAAAUGCUGGUUGAAGAUAUACAGGUCCUCCUUCACUGCCAUGAAACCAUAAAGUUGGCGCUCUCCUCCUGGCAGGACCACGCCGGGACAAGAAUUCCAAGCAAUUCUACCUAAUCCUUUCUCCAUAAAAUUCUUAUGCAGACGCUCAGCCUCUAAAUAACCUACUGCUGAGCUCUCAAAAACCAAGACACUCAGUCCACGGUGACCUUGGGGACCAUAGGAGUGUUGAGCCUUCAAAGCAGGAUACGAGCUGAAAUGCUUGAGAAGCUCUUGACUUCCCAUGCCAACGCACUGAAAUCCAAUUCAGUAAAAAGAAGUUGCAGAUUGCAUUUUAGAUGAAAGAAUUUACUUUUUCAGUUUAACCAGAAUUACUAAAAAUCAGCAUCAGUAAUGGCAACUAAGAAUGAAAUUAAUUCAACUGCUAUGAACCAAAAUAAAAUCAGAUCAUCUUACCUUUCCAUCCUUAUAAAUGCUUGUCAUUGUGUUCAUAAUGACAACCAUGGGAGGCCAAACUAUUUCACAAUCUUUUGCAUCCUCUUUUAAACCUUUCCAGUUACCAAGUAUUUGGUCAGCAGGAGCAACUGAAGUUGCCUUAUUUUGCAGUUCCCCUUCUAGAAGCUCUGCAAGAUUUCGGUGUAGUUUCACCCUUCUUGCUCCUAUCUUUUUAGCAUGUGCUAUGAGGUCCUGGAUGCCCCUGUACCAUUUGAUGGCACCAGGACCACCUUGGCAUGCUGGACAGUGCCACAUGGUUUCGUCGAUCUCCUCGACAUUCAACGCGUCCAUUCUCUCAAAAAAUUCCUUAAACCAUUUGCUCUUCUUGCGACUCUCAUGCCUCUUUUGACUUGUAUCGGAAUCAAAGUCAUCUUCAUCAUCCAAGUCAUCUUCAUCAUCUUCAUGAACAACAUUUCUAUUGCUAUUGGGUUUCCUCUGAGAGUACAGCAACCAGUCAUCAUCUAUUGCUAUGCCUUUUCCCUUUGGAUCUUGGGUGUUACCAGUACCAGCAAUAAGAUCGUCUUCACCCCUCGAACUCAUUUUUGCAUGAAAUUUGCGGCUGGAUCAUUGUUUUAAAUAAAUAUUAGUUGUAAUAUUAUCCAAACAAGUUUCUUUUCCUUUUGUUAUUAAUCAAGUGGUGAUUAUGAAAAACACUGACCUGGAACUGGUUUGAGGAAUGUCUCCCAUCCUUCUUCCAUUGAACUUCGAAUUGGAAUGUCUCAUUGAUCUCCUCCAUCCAGGUUUCCCCGCCGUGAAAUGCUCUCUUCUUUUCUCAUCCCAGUUGAUCCUCUGUUGCUCAUUGCAACUAAGCCCUGAACUCUGGGCAUGCCCUCUUCCUAACUCAUCGCAGUUGAUCGAUUGUUGCUCUUGGCAAUUAAGGCCUGAAUCCUGGGGGAUUGUAUAUUCCGUGCUGAACGAUCUAUGGCAGACAGGACACUCAGAUUUUUUGAUUGCUUCACAGACAGCAUUUUGCAGCUCUUUUUUGAUUGCUUCACAGACAGCAUCUUGCAGCUCUUUUUCAGUCCUGAAGUUAAAAGCUGGACAUGUUACAGAAUUUGCAUUAUUUUUUUUAAUCUUUCUCCAUACAUAUAAUCUUUAUGUAAUCUAAAGAAAAUUGAAGUUUGAACAUUAAAAUCCUGUUUCUAAUUUAAGCAAAUAUUUGAGAAGAAUAGGGAUGAUUAACCUCUCUCUAACUCUUCCAGAGAUAUCUCCGAACCAGGUGGUGAAAUUGCUUCAGGUGUCGAAGUUGGUGAGGGUAAUGGUGAGGAUGAUGAGAUGGAUGACGGUUCACUUGUGGUAAUUUCAGAAAUGAUCCUGGACCCCUCCAAGAUUUCCUGGAGCUGCAACUCUUCAGCAAAUGUGUCAUAUGAAAGCUCCAAAAUAUCGUUCUCGUUCCCAACUCCAUAAGGUAGAUCAAACGCCAAUUCGCUUGCCAUUUUAGUAAUUGCUACUGUGUUGUUAAAGAAUUCAGCCUAUGCUCUUCUUCACAAACAUGACGGUCUGUCUAGCUGCUAAAUAUAACUUGGUUCCCAAUAGAUUUUUCUAGAACUUGGCUACGAAGAAGUUCCUUUCAUUGGACCUACAUAAACUACUUCUUUAGAGGAUUAUAUUAGAUUGAUAAGUGACCCUUGUUGACUAACCUGACAGUCAUAUGAAGUACAAUAUGAUGCCCCAAGGUUGGUCUCAAACUUAGCCCAUAAGAAGCUUUGUUCAUUGGGCACUUUCUACUCUUUUAAAGGUUUAUAUUACUUAAUUUACGUCUAUGUAAUUUAUUAAUGAGUUUGGAGCAUUUCACUUGUAAAAUUUUUCAUUAUAAUUUUAUAAUUACUUAAUUAUAAUAACAACUUUUGUAUAAUUUAUCAUUUAAAAGUGUAAAUUUUAUGCAAUUUUUUAUUAACUUUACACAAUACUAAAUUAUAACUAAUUAAUUAUAUUGUAACUUUUUUGUCUGUCUUAGGAUUUUAUUUUAUUUUAUUUUUUACAAAGAUGGCCUUCCGUCGAGUGUCCCGAUAGUUUUGUCAUAGUACUUGGUUAGGAAGCAGUUUGCUUGCAUUUUGCCAUGAAACUACUUGGAAGUUCUUGGACUGGAUUAGACGGUCAAUUGGUGUAGAGAAUUUCGCUGUCAUUUCCUUUUUAGCUGAAUGUCAAUUCCAAGAAGUUUCAAGCCCAAUAUCUUUCUCAUUUUUCAGUGUUUCCGUUGUGAAAAAACAAAAAGAUUGAAAAUUAUAAUAUUUAAUUUGAUUUGAUUGAUUUUUUAUUAUUUUAAAUUGAAUUUAAAUAUUAAACAUAUAAAUUAAAUUUGAAUUAAAUUUUAAAUAAAAAAUUAAAAAAAUCAAAUCAAAUCAAAUUAAAUUAUAUAUUUUUAUUAAUUUUUUAUAUAUAUUUAUAUUUUUAUAAAAUAAAAAAAUUAUUUUAUAUCUAAAUUUAGUUAAAUAUAUUAAAAUAAUAUAUAAAAUAUAAAAAAUUAAAUUUAAAAAAAUUAUAAUAUUAUAUAUUAUUUAAAAAACAAAAUCAAAAUCAAAUCGGAUCUGAAUAUAACCUCUGUUGAAUUGGAUGAAUCCUGUCUCUUUUGACUGUGAACAGCUGGAGUUAACGCACGUUAGGAGUGACAACACAAUUAAAUUUAAUAAUUGAAAUAUUUCAAUCAUUGAAAGCAUUUAGGCCUUUUGUAAGAUGGACCCCAGCUUAAUACGUACUUAUAAUUAUAGUAAUUCAUUCAAAUCAAUACUAUAAAAUCAAGAGAAAUAUUAAAAGCAGCUUAAUGAAAUUAGUUAAGGUGAUAUUUAAAAAAAAUAUAAUUAAUAUAUUCUUAUUGAAUUUAAUGAAAAUAUUGUAUUAAAAAGUUUAAGUAACAUUUUAAUUAUCUUAAACACUACAUAUCAUCAAAAUUUUAUAUGAAUUUAUAUUUAUAAAUAAUAGAUCUUUAUAUAAUUUUUUAUUAUAAUUAAAUAAUUAUAAUAUUAUAAUAAAAAAUUACAUGUAAAAUGCUCUCAUUAACUAGGCCUUAAAAUUAAAAUUCUCCCCAAUUUAAUCAAAUUAAGACAUUUGGUUAAUUUAGGCAUAAAUUUGUGUCAAAUGUCCCCUAAUUAGGGACGAUCAGGGAUUUUUUUUUGGUUUCAUUAAGGGUCAAAACCACAUAUUGUUUGACCUCAUUUACAAUAAUUAAAAAAAAAUGCAGGAAGAAUUGGCAGAAGAAAUAAGAGAGAAAGAAAGGAUUUUAUUUCCUUCUUAUUUAUUGAAUUUUAAUUUAAUUUUAAUUUUGCUCUCAUGAUUAACAUGAAUCCUUAGUAUUAAGAUGAUUCAUGAACGUUAAUAUUAAGAUGAAUCCUUAAUAUUUUGCUCUCAAGAUUUUUUUCUUAACUCUUUCCAUUAGUUGAAUGAGAUUUCCUUAUUUGCCCAAAGAAAAAAAAAUGAAAUCAUUAUUUUUUUUAAAAUCAGAAAUAUUAGUUUAAUAAUAUUCAUUUACUUACCUACCCAACCAAAAAAAAAAGUUGAAAGUAGUACAAAGUUGGAAGAUAAAUAGUAUUAAUUUUAGAGCAAUGAUGUGGGUACGUAUUGCUAAGGUACUAAUUAUUAUUAAUUAAAACUGAUGUUAAAGAAAAUAAGAUAAAUGCUCUUUGUUCCCCUGAAUGUCGUCUCAAUAAAGUAAUAUCAUCUGUAUUUAAUUAAUUACUAGCAUUUCAAUUUGACCGUUUGUGAUUUGCCACACCAUCACGCGGACAAGAAUUACUAAUAUUCAUGAAAAAAAUGAAAAUGAGGAAAUGACCAAAAUUGGAUUUUCAACUCUGGAAUUGUGGGUUUUGGUUGAUACGUGUUGUCACUUUGGGAAUGGUGGAUUAUGCGUUUAGUCAGAAUAGGACUUUAAAGUUUUUUUUUUUUUAAUGUUAGAAAUUAAAGAUAUUCGUGUUUAAAUCCGUUGAAUAUUUAAAAUAUUUAAAUUUAUUAAAAUAUUUAUUUAUUUAAAAUUUAUCAAAAUAUAAAAUAUAAAUUUUUAAUUUAAAAUUUAAGUUUACUUUUAUUUAAUAAUAAAUAAAAAUUAUUUUUAAAAUUCAAAGUUUUUUUACAAAUAUAAAAUAUUAUAUUAUAUAUAUAAAUGAUAAUAAAUUCGAAUAUAAAUUUAGAUAUUUAUUAUUUAUUUAAAUUUAAAUAAAUUUAAAUAUUAAAUAUUUAAAAAAUAUUAUUUAUAUUCAUUUCGAAUUUGUUACUAAUAAUAAAUUUUUUAUUUUAAUUCAUUAAUUAUUUAUUUAUAAUUAUCUGAAUCUUACGUAAACAUAUUAGGUAAUAAUUAUUAUCAAUUACUAUCUUAUUUUGCUUGCUUCAAAUAAAUAAAAAAUAUAUUAAAUUUUAAUUUGAUUCGGUUCGGAUAACUCAUGAUCUGACCCAAUAUGCUAUUGACCAAUGAAAUGAAAACUCAAUCCAACCAAGCUAACUUUUUAUCCAACCUAAUCCGAUUCAUAUUAACGGAUUGGGUCUGAUCUCGGGUUUAGCCGACCCAAGUAACAUCCCUAAUUAAGAGUUGUUGAAAUUUGUUUCCUUGCACUGUUUGAGAAUUGAAACUUCAUCGAUGAAAGAGAGCAUACCGAACCUGACAAAGCCAAAAUCCGGAUCAGAAGAGGAAGAGAGAAAAAUAAUGAGAAUAGCAUCCAUUCCUGACUGUCAAAGCUGUCACCCCUAAUAUGGUGGCCAUAAUGUUUGUUUUUGCAGGCCAAUCCACCUAUUCUUAUGUGACCCAUUAACUGAAUUCCUGUUGGUGUGCUGCCUUUUCUUCUUGACUUUGAUUUUUUCAAUUCAAAGAUACUUAGGCAUAUAUUUUAUGUACAUGAGUUGUUAAGUUGUCUAUUAUGUUUGGCUGAUGCUUUUAUUAUUUUGGAAAAGCCUAAACAAGAUCCAAGUAAUACAAUUAUGACAGUAAAAUUAAAAAGAUUCACAUUGAAUUCAAAAUUUAAUCCAAUUAAUUUAGAAAAUAAUAUUAAAUAAUUUUGAAAUUCAAAUAUGAUUUUUUUUUCUUUGACUACGAGCUGUUUUUUACUAAAAAAAAUCGCAUUUCUUUUUUAUUAUGGAAUUCGGGAUUUGGAAUUGGCCUGAUAAAGAAUAGGAGGUGGGCUUGAUGAAUAUAAAACUAUGAAAAGACUUCGAGCCUUCAGGAAUUGAGAUUGGGCUUUGGUUCCUGAUGACUGCAACCACAGUUGCGGUAGGUGAAGGGGGGCAACGGUGUGCAUAAAUUAUAAUGGUAUUGGUAGGUAGAAUGCCGUCUCGAGAAAGGCCACAUCUCCUGAGUCAACUUUCCAUCCUUCACAACCAAACAUGGACCCCAUUCCCCCACCAAAUCACCAACCCUCUGCAUUUCUUCUCCAAUUAACGAACACCACAAUUUUUUCCUUCACCGACUUUCCUACUUUAACCAUCCAACUAUCCCCGAAAUCCCCUUUCUACCCUCCACCAACCACCCUCACCAACUUUGAUCUACUUGCUAUAUCAAUAUCAAUGCUAGCUAUCAUUUCCUCUCAGGCUCCUGAUAACACACGAAGCCUAAAAUUUUCAAGUUUCAACGCAUUGUUUUUCUUUGCAGCUCAACUUCCCCAAGUCCCAAAUGGCACCCCAAGCAGAAUUGCAACAAGAAGACAUCAUUUUUCGCUCAAAGCUUCCUGAUAUCUACAUCCCUAAGCACCUUCCUUUACAUUCGUAUUGCUUCCAGAACUUAUCGAACGUUGCCACGAGGCCCUGUUUGAUUAAUGGGACGACAGGUAAAGUUUACACGUAUGCUGAAGUUGAGCUUACAGCUCGCAGAGUCGGGUCAGCGCUCAACAAGCUUGGCAUUCAACAAGGCCAAGUGAUAAUGCUUUUGUUACCAAACACUCCAGAGUUUGUCCUGUCAUUUCUCGGCGCUUCAUUCCGUGGCGCCAUUGCCACAGCUGCCAACCCUUUUUUCACCCCAGCGGAGGUAGCAAAGCAAGCAAAAGCCUCCAACGCCAGGCUCAUAAUCACGCAAGCCAAUUAUGUUGACAAAGUAAAGGAAUUUG